AGGGCCUCAAAGAAACACCCACUCCCAUAUGGUCUAAAGAGUCUACUGUCUCUCACCUAACCCUUUUAAAGUAUGAGUGAAGAUUCCGGUGAUUAAUGUUAGACCUGAUGAGUAGGUAAAAUCCGUAUAAGCUCCAGCAAAGAUUCCGGUGAACGGGCAGGAGAAGAUUCCGGUUAACGGUUAAAAUUUUAUUGAUAUGGUAAAAGGCAUUGGCACAACUCUAACACCGGCAAGGUUUGUGUGUGCUUAAGUGACUCAUUUACAUGGUAAGAUUUGAAUGCUUGUGUUUGUUUUUAAGGUCGCACGCCAAGUGUUUGUGACAUUGCCUAAAUGACUAGAUCCAAACGUUGGUUAAUUGGUAGUAUGUGUAUUUUGUACAGAUGGUCAAGCUUUGGCCUAUAACCCUAUUUGAGGAAUUCCCAACUGUGUUUCUGAAUAUAUGAUGCAGUGGCUAUGAUUUUGAAUGUGAAUAACUGAAUAAAGCAUGCUUCUUAGAUUAGCUAACAUCAGAUUUGUAAUCAUUGUUUUAAUCUGCAGGUGCUAAUCUCAUAGUAAUUGAAAAAAAAAAUCAAUACGUGGGUUUGCUUGGUUUAAAUAUUCGACACAAGCUUCUUUUUUCUAUGUAUUUUGGGUUAGAAUUAUACAUCGUAACAAGAUCAUGAAGAUUGUGAGUUUGAACUUAAUGUUCAAAGCCUUUUUUCCUCGGCUUGAUAGCCCUGGCUUAAAGUUUUUGUUAUGCUUUAUUCUUUCCUAUCAAAUGUAGCAGAAGAUGUAUUUCUCUUUUGCUUCACACAUAUGCAUUUAGUAUUUUUAUUAUUGACUAAUGCUUUUUUUCUCUUUAAGUUUACAGAUAGAAAGUGACUAAGUGGAUAAAUCCAAAUUGUAGACUGUUUGCAAGAUGGGUAACUUAAAGAAUCUUAUUAAUUCAAACUAUGAUGUAUAUGGCUAAAAAGAGAAGAGACGGUCCACAAGGUUACAAUGGUGUAAGGACCAAAAACAAUGGAGCCCGUGAUGGGGCUGGGGCCAUGCUGGAGAAGAAAGAGCGAGCCUAGGAGCAGGAGAUGGCGGUGCUGAUGGGAGAGAAGGAAGAAUUGGCUGCUGAGCUGAAGUAUCUGAAGGAGGUUGGCUCCGUUUCUCAGGAGCAACUUAACACCAUGUAUGCGAAUUACGGGGUAACCUCUGAUGAUAAUCAGCGGUUGGCAAGGGAAAAGCAUUGGCUGAUCACUGAAGGUUUCGGAGCUUUCCUUGCUGUUGUUGCUCAGUCAGAGGACUUUAAGGGUGGUUUAGAGGAGAUAUACAGGGCUUACCGGGAUGUGGGCUACCAGGCCGGUCUGAAGGAUGGAUAUGCUUACUCUGCCCAGGGUUUGGGCAGGAAAGAGACUCCGUUGUACAAUUCCAAAGCUAAGAGGAAGCUGUCCAAGUUGGACGAGGAGUUUGGAAGCAAGACCCCUAACAUCCUGAAGAAGAUCCUGGAGCAUCCCUUAAUAUCGAUUGAUGAGUUAAAAGCCCAGUUUUCCUCUGCUGGUCCUUCCUCUCCGCCAUCUUUGGUCUAGGGGUGCACCCCAGUAAUUUCUGAACAUUUGUUUCUCUUCGAUAUGGUUGUAACUUAACUACUCGUCCUAGGAUAUUUUUAAACUUUUGGUGUUUGGGGGCCUUUGUGUGGGGGGCCCCCUUUGGUUGCUAAUCAUGUAGUUCAUGCU
RNA transcript from Helianthus annuus (common sunflower), 1700 nucleotides. It is a transcript of the gene named U2 small nuclear ribonucleoprotein B''-like, with no coding region annotated. The transcript is spliced from 4 exons. The record is from RefSeq and is a predicted model, not a curated record. Lineage: Eukaryota; Viridiplantae; Streptophyta; Magnoliopsida; Asterales; Asteraceae.